GUGGGGAAUAUUGGACAAUGGGCGAAAGCCUGAUCCAGCCAUGCCGCGUGUGUGAAGAAGGUCUUCGGAUUGUAAAGCACUUUAAGUUGGGAGGAAGGGCAGUAAGUUAAUACCUUGCUGUUUUGACGUUACCGACAGAAUAAGCACCGGCUAACUUCGUGCCAGCAGCCGCGGUAAUACGAAGGGUGCAAGCGUUAAUCGGAAUUACUGGGCGUAAAGCGCGCGUAGGUGGUUUUGUAAGUUGGAGGUGAAAACCCCGGGCUCAACCUGGGAACUGCCUCCAAAACUGCAUGACUAGAGUACGGUAGAGGGUAGUGGAAUUUCCUGUGUAGCGGUGAAAUGCGUAGAUAUAGGAAGGAACACCAGUGGCGAAGGCGACUACCUGGACUGAUACUGACACUGAGGUGCGAAAGCGUGGGGAGCAAACAGGAUUAGAUACCCUAGUAGUCC
This 450-nucleotide ribosomal RNA is filed under the name uncultured bacterium. RNAcentral's name for it is "partial 16S ribosomal RNA". It matches the Rfam family "Bacterial small subunit ribosomal RNA", at positions 354 to 796 of the family's 1533-position model. The record is from RNAcentral.